GGCCUAUCAGCUUGUUGGUGAGGUAAUGGCUCACCAAGGCGACGACGGGUAGCCGGCCUGAGAGGGCGACCGGCCACACUGGGACUGAGACACGGCCCAGACUCCUACGGGAGGCAGCAGUGGGGAAUAUUGCACAAUGGGCGAAAGCCUGAUGCAGCGACGCCGCGUGAGGGAUGACGGCCUUCGGGUUGUAAACCUCUUUCAGCAGGGAAGAAGCGAAAGUGACGGUACCUGCAGAAGAAGCGCCGGCUAACUACGUGCCAGCAGCCGCGGUAAUACGUAGGGCGCAAGCGUUGUCCGGAAUUAUUGGGCGUAAAGAGCUCGUAGGCGGCUUGUCACGUCGGUUGUGAAAGCCCGGGGCUUAACCCCGGGUCUGCAGUCGAUACGGGCAGGCUAGAGUGUGGUAGGGGAGAUCGGAAUUCCUGGUGUAGCGGUGAAAUGCGCAGAUAUCAGGAGGAACACCGGUGGCGAAGGCGGAUCUCUGGGCCAUUACUGACGCUGAGGAGCGAAAGCGUGGGGAGCGAACAGGAUUAGAUACCCUGGUAGUCCACGCCGUAAAACGGUGGGAACUAGGUUGUUGGCGACAUUCCACGUCGUCGGGUGGCCGCAAGCUAACGCAAUUAAGUUCCCGCCUGGGGAGUACGG
RNAcentral lists this ribosomal RNA (645 nucleotides) under Streptomyces sp. ENT-05. RNAcentral describes it as "bacterial SSU rRNA". It matches the Rfam family "Bacterial small subunit ribosomal RNA", at positions 235 to 885 of the family's 1533-position model. Lineage: Bacteria; Bacillati; Actinomycetota; Actinomycetes; Kitasatosporales; Streptomycetaceae. The record is from RNAcentral.